GACGAACGCUGGCGGCGUGCUUAACACAUGCAAGUCGAACGGAAAGGCCCUGCUUUUGUGGGGUGCUCGAGUGGCGAACGGGUGAGUAACACGUGAGUAACCUGCCCUUGACUUUGGGAUAACUUCAGGAAACUGGGGCUAAUACCGGAUAGGAGCUCCUGCUGCAUGGUGGGGGUUGGAAAGUUUCGGCGGUUGGGGAUGGACUCGCGGCUUAUCAGCUUGUUGGUGGGGUAGUGGCUUACCAAGGCUUUGACGGGUAGCCGGCCUGAGAGGGUGACCGGCCACAUUGGGACUGAGAUACGGCCCAGACUCCUACGGGAGGCAGCAGUGGGGAAUAUUGCACAAUGGGCGGAAGCCUGAUGCAGCAACGCCGCGUGCGGGAUGACGGCCUUCGGGUGGUAAACCGCUUUCGCCUGUGACGAAGCGUGAGUGACGGGAAUGGGUAAAGAAACACCGGCUAACUACGG
This 467-nucleotide ribosomal RNA is filed under the name uncultured bacterium. Its description in RNAcentral is "partial 16S ribosomal RNA". It matches the Rfam family "Bacterial small subunit ribosomal RNA", at positions 28 to 506 of the family's 1533-position model. The record is from RNAcentral.